GAGGUCUUCUGGUCACUGGCUUGCAUGGAGAGCGUGAGCCUGCACAGGGGAGUGUGAGGAUUUGAAAAGCUCUUGGAUCCCCACUGGUACAUCCCGACAAAGUGUGCUUCUUGAAAGGAUCAAGGACAAACUAAAGAGCCUCCUGUGACCUGCAGAACAUUAAAGCUUAUAACUGCUGGGACUGAUCUGAGAACUGCAUCUCAGCAGAAUUUCUUUGAUGUCUCCAUAGCUCUAGCUGUAUCAUAAGCAGUUUGACACAGUAAAAAGGAAAAAAGCAUUUGUGAAAAAAUAAUUUUCUAAACAAGACAAUUUUUCACUCAACUAAGUAAGAAGCUCACAGAAGCAAAGGUUUAUACAAUUGACAUUGUUUUGAUUCUAUGCUGAGCCUUUAAGAAAUGGAGCACAUAGCCAAGAUAAUUUUUUAUAUUCCUGCUGGCUUUUCUUCUGGGCACCUCUUGGGCCCUCCCCUUGUACUGACCACAGAAAUCCUGCUUGUUCCAUCCCAGUCUGGACCUAAACAAGCGUGAAGCCUUUUGUGUGGGAGAGGAAAAUCAGGCCAAGUGUGUUUAUAUUGCAAGUUGUUAAUAACAACAACAGCUCUUGGCUUUUGUGAAGCUCAUGUCAGGCAAGGAAUGUAAAGUGCUUUUAAAACAGGCAUUAAUAAGGUUGACAACUUCCACCUUCCCUCUUCCCUUGCCAUGAAGUUGGUUACGAGCCAGGAAUGAUGAUUAUCUCUCGAUCUCCCUCCCUAGAUGGUGAUCUGCCCCUUGCCUGGAUGGUGGCUGUGCCAGGGAAGGUGAGGGAGGAAGGAGAUGGAACUUUUCCCUCUGUUGCUCUGGUGGAGCAAACACAUGCCCUGCCCUCCUUCCCCCCCUACCCAGAGGGGCUUCUGGCACCCAAAAAGUCUUGCACAACCUGAGACCCAAAGUGGCUUUGGGGGAAAGGCUUCUCAGGUGUGUUCUGAACUCUCUGUAGAGAUGGCUGCUGUUCCUUAAAUCAGUUUGUCCUUGCUCAGUUACCCAUGGUGGGAAACAACAUGUUGCUCACAAGGUAAUGGGAAUUAUUUGGUUGAGCAGCUGCUCUUCCUUAAUGGAUUUCACCAUGCUGUCAUUUUAUUUAGUGAUAAAAAUCUUCAAGCCAAGUUGGAAGCACAAAAAACCCCAACCAAAACUGCCACAGACAACAAUCAAACACCUCGCACUUCCCAAACCCCCAAAUCACACAUCCUCAAAAAAUGUCACAACCCCCCCCCCCCCUUUUCACUAGUAGUGCUAGAAUUUAAAAGUAAAUGAGAUGAAAACCAUUCACUAUUUAUUGUAUCCCAUUUCUGUCACUGCAGAGGGAAUUUUGUUUGUACACAUGGAGAAAAUUGUAGACUGUCUACUUUGCAAGUUACCUGUUGAUGCUCUGUGGAUAUGAUGCUCUAUUCUUUACAGAUAAAAUUAUGAUAAAAAGUUGUCUGUAGACUUCAGCAUCCUUUGAAUUGGACUGAGAUUUCAAAAACUGACCUCAGAACUCUUCUCCCUAUGCACAAUCCAUGUGCUUUUCUGUGGACCUGCACUUUCCCUAAAGAUGCUUGGACUAGUUGAACCAGGUAACAAAUCCAGCAGAAAACUGCUGCAUUCUUUUUCUGUGGAAACUUUGUCCUGAAAUGAGUUGAGCAGGACCUAGAGAAACUAUAUUUUGAUGCAUAAAUAACAAAGAGAAUUUAUACCCAUUUGUUUAUGAACAAGAGGGUCCCUUGAGAUGUGGUGGCCUUUGCCAUAGGGUUUUUAGUUUUGUAUACUGCCACAUUCUCACAUCGUUUUUGUUACUCAUUCCUCUGUUUACUCAACAGCUGUUCCUUCAUAAAAAUCAGCUUGUUGAAAAAUAUGUAAUUUAAAACCUGUUUUGAAAGCCUGCUCAGUGAAACAUCAGCACAUGGGGGUGUUAAGUGUCUCUCAACCAGAUAAUCUUUUGAAAGGCCAUUUGUCACAGGGGUUCAGUUUUAAAUACAAAAGAAAAAUUUACCUUGUAAUAAGUAGCUAAAAAUAUGUACCCACACAGAAA
Molecule: long non-coding RNA, 2049 nt
Organism: Hirundo rustica (Barn swallow)
Lineage: Eukaryota; Metazoa; Chordata; Aves; Passeriformes; Hirundinidae
Exons: 3
Source: RefSeq, a predicted model, not a curated record